RNAcentral lists this ribosomal RNA (253 nucleotides) under uncultured bacterium. RNAcentral's name for it is "partial 16S ribosomal RNA". It matches the Rfam family "Bacterial small subunit ribosomal RNA", at positions 524 to 776 of the family's 1533-position model. The record is from RNAcentral.
UACGAGGGGGGCGAGCGUUGUUCGGAAUUAUUGGGCGUAAAGGGCGCGUAGGCGGCCUUCUAAGUCGAACGUGAAAUCUCCUGGCUCAACUGGGAGCUUGCAGGCGAAACUGCCGUGCUGGAGUGUGGGAGAGGUGCGUGGAAUUCCUGGUGUAGCGGUGAAAUGCGUAGAUAUCAGGAGGAACACCUGUGGCGAAAGCGGCGCACUGGACCACAACUGACGCUGAGGCGCGAAAGCUAGGGGAGCAAACAGG